RNAcentral lists this ribosomal RNA (254 nucleotides) under uncultured bacterium. Its description in RNAcentral is "partial 16S ribosomal RNA". It matches the Rfam family "Bacterial small subunit ribosomal RNA", at positions 524 to 776 of the family's 1533-position model. The record is from RNAcentral.
GACGUAGGGGGCGAGCGUUGUCCGGAUUUAUUGGGCGUAAAGAGCUCGUAGGCGGCUCAGAAAGUCGGGUGUGAAACCUCCAGGCUCAACCUGGAGACGCCACCUGAUACUGCUGUGGCUAGAGUCCGGUAGGGGAACACGGAAUUCCCGGUGUAGCGGUGAAAUGCUUAGAUAUCGGGAGGAACACCAGUGGCGAAGGCGGUGUUCUGGGCCGGAACUGACGCUGAGGAGCGAAAGCGUGGGUAGCGAACAGG